This 435-nucleotide ribosomal RNA is filed under the name uncultured bacterium. RNAcentral describes it as "partial 16S ribosomal RNA". It matches the Rfam family "Bacterial small subunit ribosomal RNA", at positions 29 to 507 of the family's 1533-position model. The record is from RNAcentral.
AGCGAACGCUGGCGGCAGGCUUAACACAUGCAAGUCGAACGGGCAUCUUCGGAUGUCAGUGGCAGACGGGUGAGUAACACGUGGGAACGUACCCUUCGGUUCGGAAUAACUCAGGGAAACUUGAGCUAAUACCGGAUACGCCCUUUUGGGGAAAGGUUUACUGCCGAAGGAUCGGCCCGCGUCUGAUUAGCUUGUUGGUGGGGUAACGGCCUACCAAGGCGACGAUCAGUAGCUGGUCUGAGAGGAUGAUCAGCCACACUGGGACUGAGACACGGCCCAGACUCCUACGGGAGGCAGCAGUGGGGAAUAUUGGACAAGGGGCGCAAGCCUGAUCCAGCCAUGCCGGGUGAGUGAUGAAGGCCUUAGGGUUGUAAAGCUCUUUUGUCCGGGACGAUAAUGACGGUACCGGAAGAAUAAGCCCCGGCUAACUUCGUG